This 67-nucleotide transfer RNA is filed under the name Umbonium thomasi. RNAcentral's name for it is "tRNA-Ser". The record is from RNAcentral. Lineage: Eukaryota; Metazoa; Mollusca; Gastropoda; Trochida; Trochidae.
AGAAAGAAAAGGCAUAAAGUGGGGCUGCUAACUCUGCUUUGGGCGGCUCGAUUCCGUCCUCUUUCUU